AAUCCGUUUAUAUCAGUAAGAACACCAAAUGCGAAGGCAGCUCGCUGGAACAAGCCUGACACUCAGGGACUAAAGCGUGGGGAGCGAAGCGGAUUAGAUACCCGCGUAGUCCACGCCCUAAACGAUCGGUGCUAGAUAUUGGGAGUAUCGACCCUCUCAGUGUCGUUCAAAAAAGCUAACGCGUUAAGCACCGCGCCUGAGGAGUACGACCGCAAGGUUAAAACUCAAAGGAAUAGACGGGGGUCCGCACAAGCGGUGGAUCAUGUGGUUUAAUUCGUCGCUAAGCGAAAAACCUUACCAGGGCUUGACAUAUACCUGCACAUCUUGUGAAAGCAAGACUUCUUCGAGAGUGGUAUACAGGUGCUGCAUGGUCCUCGUCAGCUCGUGCCGUGAGGUGUUCCCUUAAGUGGGGUAACGAGCGCAACCCUUGUCGUGUGUUACAUAUCACACGAGACUGCCCUGGCAACGGGGAGGAAGGAGGGGACGACGUGAGAUCAGCAUGGCCCUUACGCCCUGGGCUACACACGUGAUACAAUGGCUGGUACAACGGGUCGCAAAACCGCAAGGUGAAGCUAAUCCCAUCAAAACCGGUCUCAGUUCGGAUAGAGGUCUGCAAUUCGACCUCUUGAAGUCGGAAUCGCUAGUAAACGCGAAUCAGCACGUCGCGUUGAAUACGUUCUCGGACCUUGUACUCACCGCCCGUCAAGUGAAGGGAGUUGGGAAUACCCGAAGUUCGUAUGUUACGUUCUAAGGUAGGUCCAGCG
Molecule: ribosomal RNA, 764 nt
Filed under: marine metagenome
Description: bacterial SSU rRNA
Rfam family: Bacterial small subunit ribosomal RNA
Source: RNAcentral